RNAcentral lists this ribosomal RNA (497 nucleotides) under uncultured bacterium. RNAcentral's name for it is "partial 16S ribosomal RNA". It matches the Rfam family "Bacterial small subunit ribosomal RNA", at positions 28 to 507 of the family's 1533-position model. The record is from RNAcentral.
GAUGAACGCUGGCGGCGUGCCUAAUACAUGCAAGUCGAGCGAACGGACGAGAAGCUUGCUUUUCUGAUGUUAGCGGCGGACGGGUGAGUAACACGUGGAUAACCUACCUAUAAGACUGGGAUAACUUCGGGAAACCAGAUCUAAUACCGGAUAAUAUUUUGAACCGCAUGGUUCAAAAGUGAAAGACGGUCUUGCUGUUACUUAUAGAUGGUUCCGCGCUGCAUUAGCUAGUUGGUAAGGUAACGGCUUACCAAGGCAACGAUGCAUAGCCGACCUGAGAGGGUGAUCGGCCACACUGGAACUGAGACACGGUCCAGACUCCUACGGGAGGCAGCAGUAGGGAAUCUUCCGCAAUGGGCGAAAGCCUGACGGAGCAACGCCGCGUGAGUGAUGAAGGUCUUCGGAUCGUAAAACUCUGUUAUUAGGGAAGAACAGAUGUGUAAGUAACUGUGCACAUCUUGACGGUACCUAAUCAGAAAGCCACGGCUAACUACGUG